RNAcentral lists this long non-coding RNA (1807 nucleotides) under Homo sapiens (human). Its description in RNAcentral is "HSALNT0187551". The stretch from base 314 to 417 matches the Rfam family "Y RNA". Lineage: Eukaryota; Metazoa; Chordata; Mammalia; Primates; Hominidae. The record is from RNAcentral.
GUUAAAGAGAAACAGCACAGAAUAAGUUUAGUGCUUAUCCCUAAAAUUUUAAACCUUAUUAAAAAUUCAAAUGUGCAGAAACCUGAUCACAUUUCAAAUGCACAUAGCAUUCAAUUAUUCAAAAUUUACUGACGAAAGUAAAGUUAGUGGCUAAGAAGAAAAAUUAAGAAUCCCACUGCGCAGUGCAAAAUACAACUAGAAUUAGAGGGAUGUAUAUAAUAUUUUUAAGUCAUAGAAACAAAGCAUAUUGCUUGCCAUAACUUAUUUUUAACAUUUUUAGGAAACAACCUUUCCAAUAUAAUUAGUUAUAUCUGGCUUGUCUGAAGGUAGUUAUCUCAAUUGACUGUUCAGUCAGUUACAGAUGGAACUCCUUGUUCUACUCUUUCCCGCCUUACUACUGCACUUGACUAGUCUAAAAAAUAAAAAUUAAAUUUUUAAAAUUAAUAAAAAAGUUAUGUGACCAUUAUUUCUAAUUCUGACACAAAUGAAGCACAAUUAAUUCACUAUUCAAAAAUUUGGGCCAAGUGUGGGGCUCACACUUCUAAUCUCAGCACUUUGAGAAGCCGAGGAUUACAGGCGUGAGCCACCGCGCCCGGCCUAUGUUUGCAUUUUUUAAAAAGAAAACAAAAAACUUUUGCUUUAGUUCAACAACUUUUCUCCCCAAAAUAAAUUUUUUUUUCACAUUUUUUUUCAAAUUUCUACUGACACUGUUCAGAAGUAUCAUAUAUAGCACAAUUUUGGCCUUUAAUCAGCAUGCUACUUUUGGAUUUUGUCUCAAAGGAAAGCUGAGGAAAGCUUGAUUUAUUUCUUACAAAUAUAUGAAAGAUAACCGUGGAGUUCUGUUCAAACUGAACCACCACUCUACUCUAAAACAUAGUUUAGUAUUGUUUUUAAUAAAAAUUUAACAGAAAAUUCUUUUACAUGGGCAGAAGUAGGGGGCAAGCUGAGAUGACCAUAAAUCUACAUACUGACACCUCAGUUAUCCCACAGUUGACAGAAUGAAGAAUCCUAUGCUAAAUAAAUGUCCUGAUGAUUGAAUUAUACAUAUUAAACACUAAAAUAUUUUACUUUAGCCAGUUUUGAUGAAGCUACAUCUAAGAUGGAUUAUACUUCUCCAUGUCAUCUUAGAAUGUACUACUCUGAAUCUACUAUUGGUAACCUAGGUCUUUGUCAUGUAACUAAGCCUUCACUGGCUAAAUAAAAUCCCUACACAAAAUGUUAGUAACUGAUUUCUUUUUUUUUUUUUUUUUUGAAAGUUUAUGUUUCUUCCCUUUCUCCUCUCUUAUUAUCAGGCUGUCAGGUAGUUCACACUCUUCUAGCUAACUAUAUUGUUUAUCUGCUUCAUGGUUUCUAAUUUUCUCUGGGUUAGAAUGAUUUAUGAUAUGCUAGAAUUGUUUAUUCUAAGGAUAAAGAAGCUUUGAUGAAAAACUAACGAACUGUCUAUGCUAGAAUAAAACACGUGAAAUCUAGUACUCAAAUUUAUAUAAUCUAUAUUGUGUUUGGGGUAGUUGAGUUGUCAUUUUAAGCAAAUAUAUAUACAAAAUCAGCACUAAGCUUGGAAAAAAACAGUAGGUAGGCAGAUUUACUGACCAACCACUAAGAGGAGACAUCAACAAAACAUAGUGGACAUAAAAACAAAGAGAUACCAAAGAGCUGACACUACGAUAGCUGAAAUGUACACCCUUUUCUAACAAGCACAAUUUUAUCUAAGGAAACACUGCCCACAAUUCAAAUAGUUUCUGAGAGACAGGAUAUCAUGGGCCCUCUCAAGGUGACAGAAGAAAAUGGAAAGUUAAAAAAAAAAAAA